GAAAUGCGAUAAUUAAUGUGAAUUGCAGAAUUCAGUGAAUCAUCGAGUCUUUGAACGCACAUUGGGCCCCCUGGUAUUCCGGGGGGCAUGCCUGUCCGAGCGUCAUUGCUGCCCUCAAGCACGGCUUGUGUGUUGGGCUUCCGUCCCUGGCAACGGGGACGGGCCCAAAAGGCAGUGGCGGCACCAUGUCUGGUCCUCGAGCGUAUGGGGCUUUGUCACCCGCUCCCGUAGGUCCAGCUGGCAGCUAGCCUCGCAACCAAUCUUUUUAACCAGGUUGACCUCGGAUCAGGUAGGGAUACCCGCUGAACUUAAGC
Molecule: unclassified non-coding RNA, 314 nt
Filed under: plant metagenome
Description: partial contains 5.8S ribosomal RNA, internal transcribed spacer 2, and large subunit ribosomal RNA
Rfam family: 5.8S ribosomal RNA (bases 1-105)
Source: RNAcentral